GCAUUCAGUUGCCAUCGGGUGAAGCCGGGCACUCUGGAAGGACUGCCAUCGACAGAUGGAGGAAGUGGGGACGACGUCAAGUCAUCAUGGCCCUUAUGUCCAGGGCGACACACGUGCUACAAUGGCCGGCACAACGGGAAGCGAGUUCGCGAGGACGAGCGGAUCCCUUAAAGCCGGUCGCAGUUCGGAUUGAAGUCUGCAACUCGACUUCAUGAAGCUGGAAUCGCUAGUAAUCGCAGAUCAGCCAAGCUGCGGUGAAUACGUUCCCGGGCCUU
RNAcentral lists this ribosomal RNA (275 nucleotides) under uncultured Synergistaceae bacterium. RNAcentral's name for it is "partial 16S ribosomal RNA". It matches the Rfam family "Bacterial small subunit ribosomal RNA", at positions 1107 to 1382 of the family's 1533-position model. Lineage: Bacteria; Thermotogati; Synergistota; Synergistia; Synergistales; Synergistaceae. The record is from RNAcentral.